This 270-nucleotide ribosomal RNA is filed under the name uncultured bacterium. Its description in RNAcentral is "partial 16S ribosomal RNA". It matches the Rfam family "Bacterial small subunit ribosomal RNA", at positions 91 to 354 of the family's 1533-position model. The record is from RNAcentral.
CGGACCGGCGCGACGGGUGAGUAACGCGUAUGACAACCUACCUAGUCAGGAAGGGGAACUAACCCGGCGAAAGUCGGACUAAUACCGCAUAAAACAGGGGUUCCACAUGGAAAUAUUUGUUAAAGAAUUAUCGCUGAUAGAUGGGCAUGCGUUCCAUUAGAUAGUUGGUGAGGUAACGGCUCACCAAGUCCACGAUGGAUAGGGGUUCUGAGAGGAAGGUCCCCCACACUGGUACUGAGACACGGACCAGACUCCUACGGAAGGCAGCAG